Transfer RNA from Aspergillus wentii DTO 134E9, 89 nucleotides. It matches the Rfam family "tRNA". Rfam says of the family: Transfer RNA (tRNA) molecules are approximately 80 nucleotides in length. Their secondary structure includes four short double-helical elements and three loops (D, anti-codon, and T loops). The record is from Rfam. NCBI's taxonomy places the organism in Eukaryota, Fungi, Ascomycota, Eurotiomycetes, Eurotiales, Aspergillaceae.
GGCAAGAUGGCCGAGUGGUUAUGGCGCUGGUUUUAGGUUUCCAAUCACCAGUUGUGCGAACUUCGUGGGUUCGAAUCCCACUCUUGUCA